This is a long non-coding RNA of Leptinotarsa decemlineata (Colorado potato beetle), 313 nucleotides long. Lineage: Eukaryota; Metazoa; Arthropoda; Insecta; Coleoptera; Chrysomelidae. The record is from RefSeq and is a predicted model, not a curated record.
AGAGGUUUUUCUGUUACAACCUUAUCAGUGGAAAAAAAAUUUGACACUUUUUCAUUGAGUAAACUACUUGUGAGAACAUCGUUACUUUUCAGUUCUAUACAAAAGUUAAACCAUAAUUUACUUCUCAAUAAUUUGUUCAUUUGCUGGUCUAUUCUUAGUACAAUUGUGUAAGACAAAUGUGUGUGGAGCUGAACCUGGGAAUUACAACAAGACUGUUCUAAAUGAUUAGACAACACAGUGUUUCUAUUUUAUUUGCCAGUAUUAAACAAAUUCAAUAAUGAAACCAUGCUGCUGGUGAAUAUAGGAGCCAUCA